This is a long non-coding RNA of Pipra filicauda (Wire-tailed manakin), 341 nucleotides long. RefSeq lists it as uncharacterized. NCBI's taxonomy places the organism in Eukaryota, Metazoa, Chordata, Aves, Passeriformes, Pipridae. The record is from RefSeq and is a predicted model, not a curated record. The transcript has 2 exons.
GCUGAUCAGUGGCUGGAAAAUGGAAACACGAGUAAUUAAUUACUAGUUCUGCUCUCUAGUCAAGUGGAGGCAACUAGUCCCUCAGGUGUGAUAUGGAAGAGAAGAAAACGAGCCCUGGUGGUGGCUGCCCGUGGCUGUGCAGGGAGUGACUGAGGCAGAGCCUGGAGCCCCCCUGCCCUUCACUCCCCUGCUCCUGAACCUGUCAGAAACUUGUCCCUGGCCUGUGGUUGUUCCAUCUCUUUGCUCAGAGUUUUAGGGUUUGGGAUUGUUUAAAAAGCACCUUUGCUGUACCUCAGGGAACCCCCCGUGAUGGGGAAGGAGCCCUGCAGGAGCCCACGAGC